CAUGCUUUAACCCUUGUUAACCUUAGGACAAAACUGGAUAUUCUUUUGUUAAAUAAGCAUUUGUGAAUUUUCACUGAUAUAACCCAGCUGUUAACAAAUUUUUAUGUUUGGAAGGCAAAAUCAGCUGAACGGGAAAAAAUGCUAGCAAUCUGAAAAGUCAUAAGAGUUUCAAUUUUAGAUAUAACUUCAUUAAACUUUCCUUCACAGCUAAAUUUCUGCAUUAUUAUCUUACCAAAAAGUUCUAUUUUACAUUUAAAAUAAGUAGUAGUCUAAGAGAAUUCAAGAAAGUUAAUGUACAGGAUUCUUGGAUUUAGUUAAAAUUAUGUGGACUCAGUAGCCAAUUUAUCUCAGUGAAAAGAACUGUAUUAGCUACCUAGGGAUUCUUAAUUCCCAAAGAGACCCGAAAUUCCUCAUAAUAAGUAGUCACAUAAUUCAGUGUACUAUGUCAUUUUAGUAAAAGGCAGUUAUGAUAUAGAGCCGUACUUGCCUUACGAUAAUAAUAAUAUGUGUUGAGUGAAUCUGAUUAGCAAGGGUACAAAUAAGGUAGAAUUCUUUGUAUUGUUGAGGAAAAAUAGGCAUUUGAAAAAAAUAUCGGAGGUUUAAAAUAUCAAGACUUUGACAUGACUAAUGAACAUGAUUUCUAAACAGACAGUGAUUGCAUUUACAAUACUACCUGAAGAGCUUUCUUUUUUAAAAAAAAAAGAUCGUAAGGCUCCACCCCUAUAAACUGCAUUAGAAGACCUAGGAAAAGAAGACCACUGGAAUCGGUAAAAUACAUUUUGCAGAUAUGAUCCAAGCAGCUAGAGUUGGAAACAGUUGUCUCUACCUCAUUUGGGUUGUUCCACUUCUCUGCUCUAGUAUUAAUAAGUGAAUAUUCUGCUAAAGCCGAAUUUUGUCCCUGUCUACUCUGUGAUGCAUUAGUACUAUGUAAGAAUUACAUACAAAGUCUCAUCACAUACAAACUCACAUCUCAUUCAAAGACACAGUUCCAGCUAUCUUCUCUCCUGCAUCCGUUUUCUCUCUUGUAGAUCAUUC
RNAcentral lists this long non-coding RNA (1035 nucleotides) under Marmota monax (woodchuck). The record is from RNAcentral. Lineage: Eukaryota; Metazoa; Chordata; Mammalia; Rodentia; Sciuridae.